RNAcentral lists this ribosomal RNA (718 nucleotides) under Streptomyces cyaneofuscatus. RNAcentral's name for it is "bacterial SSU rRNA". It matches the Rfam family "Bacterial small subunit ribosomal RNA", at positions 56 to 792 of the family's 1533-position model. The record is from RNAcentral. Lineage: Bacteria; Bacillati; Actinomycetota; Actinomycetes; Kitasatosporales; Streptomycetaceae.
UGCAGUCGAACGAUGAAGCCUUUCGGGGUGGAUUAGUGGCGAACGGGUGAGUAACACGUGGGCAAUCUGCCCUUCACUCUGGGACAAGCCCUGGAAACGGGGUCUAAUACCGGAUAACACUCUGUCCCGCAUGGGACGGGGUUAAAAGCUCCGGCGGUGAAGGAUGAGCCCGCGGCCUAUCAGCUUGUUGGUGGGGUAAUGGCCUACCAAGGCGACGACGGGUAGCCGGCCUGAGAGGGCGACCGGCCACACUGGGACUGAGACACGGCCCAGACUCCUACGGGAGGCAGCAGUGGGGAAUAUUGCACAAUGGGCGAAAGCCUGAUGCAGCGACGCCGCGUGAGGGAUGACGGCCUUCGGGUUGUAAACCUCUUUCAGCAGGGAAGAAGCGAAAGUGACGGUACCUGCAGAAGAAGCGCCGGCUAACUACGUGCCAGCAGCCGCGGUAAUACGUAGGGCGCAAGCGUUGUCCGGAAUUAUUGGGCGUAAAGAGCUCGUAGGCGGCUUGUCACGUCGGAUGUGAAAGCCCGGGGCUUAACCCCGGGUCUGCAUUCGAUACGGGCUAGCUAGAGUGUGGUAGGGGAGAUCGGAAUUCCUGGUGUAGCGGUGAAAUGCGCAGAUAUCAGGAGGAACACCGGUGGCGAAGGCGGAUCUCUGGGCCAUUACUGACGCUGAGGAGCGAAAGCGUGGGGAGCGAACAGGAUUAGAUACCCUGGUA